AUUGAACGCUGGCGGCAUGCCUUACACAUGCCAGUCGAACGGCAGCACGGACUUCGGUCUGGUGGCGAGUGGCGAACGGGUGAGUAAUGUAUCGGAACGUACCUUUCAGUGGGGAAUAACGUAGCGAAAGUUACGCUAAUACCGCAUAUUCUGUGAGCAGGAAAGCAGGGGAUCGAAAGACCUUGCGCUGAUUGAGCGGCCGAUAUCAGAUUAGCUAGUUGGUGGGGUAAAGGCCUACCAAGGCGACGAUCUGUAGCGGGUCUGAGAGGAUGAUCCGCCACACUGGAACUGAGACACGGUCCAGACUCCUACGGGAGGCAGCAGUGGGGAAUUUUGGACAAUGGGGGCAACCCUGAUCCAGCCAUGCCGCGUGAGUGAAGAAGGCCUUCGGGUUGUAAAGCUCUUUCGGCCGGGAAGAAAUCGCAUAGGCUAAUACCCUGUGUGGAUGACGGUACCGGAAUAAGAAGCACCGGCUAACUACGUG
This 484-nucleotide ribosomal RNA is filed under the name uncultured bacterium. Its description in RNAcentral is "partial 16S ribosomal RNA". It matches the Rfam family "Bacterial small subunit ribosomal RNA", at positions 30 to 507 of the family's 1533-position model. The record is from RNAcentral.